Molecule: long non-coding RNA, 454 nt
Organism: Thalassophryne amazonica
Lineage: Eukaryota; Metazoa; Chordata; Actinopteri; Batrachoidiformes; Batrachoididae
Exons: 3
Source: RefSeq, a predicted model, not a curated record
AAGAGGAUGCUGGCUACUACAGACUGGUAGAACACUGAAAGUUGAUGUUGUCUUUGGCCUGUUCUCUUGCCAGGGUGGAACGAUUGGAUAGCAUACACCAUUAAUGACUUAAAAAAAACAAGAACUGGGUGCACAAGUUUGAAUUUAUUUAGGAUCUUCUCUAAUCCACGCAGGGUCAAAAGCAAGCUACACCUACACCAUAUGCUUUUGGUAGCCAUCAACAAGAUUCUGGUAUAAUUUUGGCUGGAUAGUUGACCAUUCUUCUUGGCAGAAUUGGUAGAGUUCAUUUAAACUGUCUGGUUUCCUGGCAUGGACCCGACUUUUAAAACGUAGUCCACACAUUUUCAAUAGGGUUGAGGUCAGAGGAUUUGGGAAAGCCAUUCCAGAACCUUAAUGUUAGCCUGCUUUAUCCAACCCACAGCCAGUUUUGAUGCGUGUUUCAGCACCACACAUU